UUUGGGAUAGCCCAGAGAAAUUUGGAUUAAUAUCAGAUAGUAUAUAGGACUGGCAUCAGUUUUAUAUUAAAGGUUACGGUACAAGAUGGGCAUGCGUUUUAUUAGUUAGUUGGUAAGGGAACGGCUUACCAAGACUACGAUAAAUAGGGGUCCUGAGAGGGAGAUCCCCCACACUGGUACUGAGACACGGACCAGACUCCUACGGGAGGCAGCAGUGAGGAAUAUUGGACAAUGGGCGCGAGCCUGAUCCAGCCAUGCCGCGUGCAGGAAGACGGCCCUAUGGGUCUUAAACUGCUUUUAUACGGGAAGAAACCUCCCCACGUGUGGGGAGCUGACGGUACCGUAAGAAUAAGGACCGGCUAACUCCGUGCCAGCAGCCGCGGUAAUACGGAGGGUCCGAGCGUUAUCCGGAAUUAUUGGGUUUAAAGGGUCCGUAGGCGGGCCAUUAAGUCAGUGGUGAAAGGUUGCAGCUCAACUGUAAAAUUUGCCUUUGAUACUGAUGGUCUUGAGUUAUGGUGAAGUUGCCGGAAUAUGUAGUGUAGCGGUGAAAUGCAUAGAUAUUACAUAGAACACCGAUUGCGAAGGCAGGUGACUAACCAUAUACUGACGCUGAUGGACGAAAGCGUGGGGAGCGAACAGGAUUAGAUACCCUGGUAGUCCACGCCGUAAACGAUGGAUACUAGCUGUUGGACUUUCGGGUUCAGUGGCUGAGCGAAAGUGAUAAGUAUCCCACCUGGGGAGUACGUUCGCAAGAAUGAAACUCAAGGGAAUUGACGGGGGCCCGCACAAGCGGUGGAGCAUGUGGUUUAAUUCGAUGAUACGCGAGGAACCUUACCAGGGCUUAAAUGCAUAUUGACAGGGUCAGAGAUGACUUUUCCUUCGGGCAAUUUGCAAGGUGCUGCAUGGUUGUCGUCAGCUCGUGCCGUGAGGUGUCAGGUUAAGUCCUAUAACGAGCGCAACCCCUGCCGUUAGUUGCCAGCAUGUAAAGAUGGGGACUCUAACGGGACUGCAGGUGCAAACCGUGAGGAAGGUGGGGAUGACGUCAAAUCAUCACGGCCCUUACGUCCUGGGCCACACACGUGCUACAAUGGCCGGUACAGAGAGCAGCCAUGUUGCAAGACAGAGCGAAUCUAUAAAACCGGUCACAGUUCGGAUCGGGGUCUGCAACUCGACCCCGUGAAGCUGAAUCGCUAGUAAUCGGAUAUCAGCCAUGAUCCGGUGAAUACGUUCCCGGGCCUUGU
This 1241-nucleotide ribosomal RNA is filed under the name uncultured prokaryote. RNAcentral describes it as "partial 16S ribosomal RNA". It matches the Rfam family "Bacterial small subunit ribosomal RNA", at positions 137 to 1384 of the family's 1533-position model. The record is from RNAcentral.